Molecule: ribosomal RNA, 468 nt
Filed under: uncultured bacterium
Lineage: Bacteria
Description: partial 16S ribosomal RNA
Rfam family: Bacterial small subunit ribosomal RNA
Source: RNAcentral
GACGAACGCUGGCGGCGUGCUUAACACAUGCAAGUCGAACGGAAAGGCCCUGCUUUUGUGGGGUGCUCGAGUGGCGAACGGGUGAGUAACACGUGAGUAACCUGCCCUUGACUUUGGGAUAACUUCAGGAAACUGGGGCUAAUACCGCACAGGAGCUCCUGCUGCAUGGGGUGGGAGGGAAAGUGUCGGCGGUGGGGGAUGGACUCGCGGCUUAUCAGCUUGUUGGUGGGGUAGUGGCGUACCAGGGCUUUGACGGGUAGCCGGCUUGGGAGGGUGACCGGGCACAAUGGGACUGAGGAAGGGCCCAGACGGCAACGGGGGGCAGCAGUGGAGAACAUUGCGCGAUGGGCGGAAGGCUGAUACAGCGACGUCGCGUGCGGGAUGACGGCUUUCGGGGUGUAAACCGCGUGCGCCUGGGACGAAGAGUGAGUGACGGUAACUGGUAAGGAAGCAACGGCUAACUACGUG